GCUAUCGCUGUGACAGAGGCCGUGGUAAGACAGAGGGCCUAGGUGUUGUUUGGAGUCACGGUGCGUAAAUGUUGCGUAUGUGGUGGGGUAAGUCGGAUGUGAAAGCUCCGAGCUCGACUCGGAAAUGGCAUGGGAAACUACCCUGCUGGAGGGGCGGAGGGGGGACUGGAAUUCUCGGUGUAGCAGUGAAAUGCGUAGAUAUCGAGAGGAACACCAGUGGCGAAGGCGAGUCCCUGGACGACUCCUGACACUGAGGCACGAAAGCUAGGGGAGCAAACAGGAUUAGAUACCCGAGUAGUC
This 300-nucleotide ribosomal RNA is filed under the name uncultured Shewanella sp. Its description in RNAcentral is "bacterial SSU rRNA". It matches the Rfam family "Bacterial small subunit ribosomal RNA", at positions 496 to 795 of the family's 1533-position model. Lineage: Bacteria; Pseudomonadati; Pseudomonadota; Gammaproteobacteria; Alteromonadales; Shewanellaceae. The record is from RNAcentral.